Molecule: ribosomal RNA, 393 nt
Filed under: uncultured Glomus
Lineage: Eukaryota; Fungi; Glomeromycota; Glomeromycetes; Glomerales; Glomeraceae
Description: SSU rRNA
Rfam family: Eukaryotic small subunit ribosomal RNA
Source: RNAcentral
UAGUAGGUUGGUCAUGCCUCUGGUAUGUACUGGUCUCACUGAUUCCUCCUUCCUGAUGAGCCGUAAUGCCAUUAAUUUGGUGUUGCGGGGAAUUUGGACUGUUACUUUGAAAAAAUUAGAGUGUUUAAAGCAAGCUAACGCUUGAAUACAUUAGCAUGGAAUAAUGAAAUAGGACGUUCGAUCCUAUUUUGUUGGUUUCUAGGAUUGACGUAAUGAUUAAUAGGGAUAGUUGGGGGCAUUAGUAUUCAAUUGUCAGAGGUGAAAUUCUUGGAUUUAUUGAAGACUAACUACUGCGAAAGCAUUUGCCAAGGAUGUUUUCAUUAAUCAAGAACGAAAGUUAGGGGAUCGAAGACGAUCAGAUACCGUCGUAGUCUUAACCAUAAACUAUGCCGA